This 694-nucleotide non-coding RNA is filed under the name Haemaphysalis punctata. Lineage: Eukaryota; Metazoa; Arthropoda; Arachnida; Ixodida; Ixodidae. The record is from RNAcentral.
UAAUUAUAUUUGGUUGUAAGGAAAUUUUACCUUAAAUACUUUAUGAUUUUCAUUAAUGUACAAUUUAUCAGAAGAUAAAAUUUAUUUAAUAAUAAAGUAUUAUUGAGAUUUAAGGUAAACUCUAGUAAAUUUUGUGCCAGCAACAGCGGUUAUACAAAAAGAGAUAUUUUUUAAUAAUAAUUUAAAUUUAUUUACAAGAAUUGUAAUUUUUGAAAAAAGGUGAAAUUUAUUCAUAUUUAUAUUUAAUAUUGAAAAUAAAAAUUCUAUUUUAAACUAGGAUUAGAUACCCUAUUAUUAAGAGUUUCAUAUUGUUAGUAUAUACUAAAUAUGAAAACAAAAAAUUAUGGCGGUAUUUUAAGCUUUUCAGAGGAAUUUGCUCUAUAAUGGAUAUUACGCCUAAAUCUUACUAAGGUUAGUUAAGCAGUUUGUAUACCACUAUUAAAGUAAUAAUUUAUAAUUAUUACUUCAAUUUAUAGUUUUUUUAAAAAAAUUUAAGUCAAGGUGCAGCAAAAAUUUUAGAAUGAAGUGAAUUACAUUUCUUUUUAGAAAAAUAAAAUGAAAAAUGUUUUAGGAUUUGAUAGUAAAAUUUUAAUAAAAUGAAAAUUUGAAUUAAGCUCUAAAAUAUGUACAUAUCGCCCGUCGCUCUUUUAUUGAAGAUAAGUCGUAACAAAGUUAAAGUACUGGAAAGUGCUUU